Danio aesculapii is the source of this 3911-nucleotide long non-coding RNA. RefSeq lists it as uncharacterized. Lineage: Eukaryota; Metazoa; Chordata; Actinopteri; Cypriniformes; Danionidae. The transcript is spliced from 2 exons. The record is from RefSeq and is a predicted model, not a curated record.
GUGACCCGACGACGUGAUUGACUGGAGAUUGUCAAAUAGAUGGACGUUUGUUUCUGAUGCCAAAACCAGAGAGGCCUCUCUAUACAAAGGGGACACGAAUAUCCAGCACCCCUACCUGACCGAACUUGGGACUGAGUGAUAUUGAGAAUCUACAGGCGUAAAUGGAAAGAGCCUCGCUGGUCUGCUCAAAUUAAGUAAUGUCCAGCGGACCCACAGUCCAGAUAAUUAAACGACACCAGAGUGGACCUUGCUUUGCAGGUCCAAGAGAGGGAGUAUACCACAGGAGAUACAGGAGGGACUGAGGGUACGAGAAAAGGAGGUGACACACAAACACAUACACACAGAAAAAUUUUCAUCCAUCACAAAGUAACCUACAAACUUUGCAGGUGGACCACAAAACUAGGGACUUAUUCACAGCCCUAAACGAGAAGCUGUAGCCCAUUGUGUCAGUGCAGACUGUGUAUUUGGAGCGGGCAUAGCGAAAAAUUCCAUGAAAGAUAUGGGGUUGACAAGGUAAAGCCCCAGAGAAAAACGAAAGGUGACUGUGCUAUAACUCACGAGGCAGACAGAAUAGUUUUCCACCUGAUCACAAAAACACUUGCUAGAGACCUACCCACAUAUGAGGACUUUGAGAGCAGUCUAAUCUGCAUGAGAACGUGGUGUGACAAAUUACACAUCACCAGAUUAUCCAUAGGGGUGUGGUUUAGACAAGUUGGAAUUCUAUAGAGUUCUCCACAUUAUUGAAAAGACGUUUAAAGGCCAAAAUAUAACUAUUUCAGUUUAUACGUUAGAAUAAGUUUACUGUGCUUGCUAUUUUUAUUGUAGCUUUGAUAUUGAUUAUAUAUUACUUGCUGUUAAAACAAUAACACUGUGAAAAAUAAUAUAAAGGGAGGACCAGAAUUGAAUAAUAAGGAAAACCAGCAUCAAUAAAACAUGAGGGUCAAGUUGUGGGAAAACUGGAAACUACUGGGGAUAGUGGGGAUAUUAACACUGAUAAUAGUGGGGACAAUUCUAGGAGUAGGAAAAAGUCAGAACAGGAAUGAAACCUCAACUGUAAAACUAACCAGAGUAAAAAGAUCCCUAGGGGAAGAAAACAGGUGUUCCAAGUAUUAUGGAGGGCUGUCCAUUGAAUAUGUAAAGGGAGAGACAACAUCUUACACAUUUGAUCUAUGUCAGGUAAUUGACUGUGGGGGACACAAUAGUUCGUGGCGAGGAUAUGACGUAUAUGUUUGUUUAGAUCAGACUAUGAAUGCAUGGUGUAACACAAUGGGUAAGGCAGAUAAUAGGUGGUGUAGAGGGUGGGAUCAAGUAGUGGGGUACACAGGGAAAUGGACGCCAAACCCAACAUGGUUAGGGAAUUUUAAAAACGAGUGGAGAAAACUGAAAAUACAAAGGGAUUAUAGUCCUACCCAGAACCCUAUUACUAUGUCAAUAGGGAGUGGACAGGAUACCCCCUAGAUGAGACCCAUUAUGCUGGAAAAAACAAUCCACCUAAGUUUCUCCAUAUACUAUUAGGAGUUGAGAUAUCAGGAACUGACCCCCUGGGAAUCAUAGAAGUUGAGUUUUUAGACAGGGUCAAUGUAAUAGAUAGAAACAAGACAACGACUAUAGGACCCCAAUCAGAGAUCAUAGUAGAGAAAUUAGAGGUCGAAGGGUUGUGAUAGAAAUGGACUACACCAAAUUAACUCCUGAAGAUAUUUUAGAGAAAGCCACGGGAUACGGGGAAAAAUAAUUUGUGGUUAGAAUGGAUGAUUUACACAGCUAAACAAACAGGAAUGACAGAUUGUGUUGCAUGUGGAAAAGCUAGACCAACCCUUAGAAUAGAACCAGCCCCAUUGAUAAUAAAUGACCCAGUAUAGACCAAAUGUGUCACUCUAGCGGAAAUAUUUCCACUAAUAAAUAACCAGACAAAAACAGGCCCAUUUUCUGCAGACCCAGGAAAUUUCACCUGUUUUAAUUUUACACCCACCAGAACAGUGCUAGUCAGGGUAGGGCAUAUUAACCGUUUGUGGUGCAAACAGAUUAUCAACAAUGCAGGGGAUAUAAUAGGACCUUGGGCGCGGGGAGGACUAUAUUUUUAUUGUGGAGGGAAAAGAUUGUAAAAGAUUAUUUGUAAGAAUAAAAGGGAAAACUACGGAAGGUAUAUGUGCAAUGGUUAGGUUGGCAGCACCAGUAACACUGAUUGGCAAGAGACAAGAGGGAAGGGGUGAAAGUAUAGCUGGGAGAAGAAAAAGGGACGCAACGUUUGACUUAACCACAAAUUCCCCAACCUAUAUAGAUUCAAUAGGAGUCCGAAGAGGAGUCCCUGAUGAAUACAAAACUAGUAGACCAAAUUGCUGCCGGGUUCGAGAAUAUCCCAAUAAUUUCAGCCCUAUUCCCAGUCACCCCAAGUAAAAUGUGGAUAGAAUAAAUUAUGUGCACUAUAAUGUGAUGAGAUUGGCAAAUCUGACACAAGAUGCCGUAGAAGGAUUAUCAGAACAAUUGGCUCCAACCUCAUUAAUGGCAAUACAAAAUAGAAUAGCACUAGACAUGCUAUUGGCGGAAAAGGGGUGCCAUGUUCCAAGAUUUUGCUGCACUUUUAUUACCAAUAAUACCGCACAGACGGAUCAGUAAUGAGGGCUUUAGAAUGGUUAAAAACCCUUUCCAAAACAAUGGCAGAACACUCUUUUUGAUGAUUGGCUGACCGGUGUGUUUGGAAAAUAUAAAACCAUGUUUACAUCAAUUUUGAUCUCUAUAGCUACAUUUGUGGCCAUAAUAGUGACCUGUGGAUGCUGUAGCAUGCCGUGUAUCAGAACAUUGUGUAACAGGGUGAUAAUAGCAGCAAUUGAAAAGAAAGAUGGAGCUCCACCCCCUUACACAAUGCCUCUGCUGAUAUCUCCAGGAAAUAAUGAUGAGGAGGAAGAGGAAUAUGACUUAUAAAUAUUGUUUUUUCCCAAUAACUGUGCUUCUUUGCAGAUGCUGAUACAUCACAAGCUAUGUGUUUUUUAGAUAUUGAUGUUUGAGAAAUUUGCUGUUUGAAAAUGUGUUAAGAUUUAAAUUUUGAUUAUUGAAAUGUUUGUAGUUUAGAUAAUUUCAGUGUGAUUGACUCAGCUGACAUGUUGUGGUUCCCCAAACAUAAAAUAGGGAACCGACUGGGUGCCUUUCCCCACAGGGGUUUUCGGCCCAGUCCAGCCUGAGCACACUGGUUUGUAGGGAAUGUUUUUUUAUUUUUUAUUAUUAUUACGUUUUAAGUACUUGUCUUUCUAGUAGUCUGAUAUGAUGUGUCAGGUGAACAUGUGGUGGCUGCCCAUAAGCUAACUAGGGGGCCGCUUGGGUGUCUUUCCUCACAGAGGUUUUCGACCCAAGCUCAUCUGGACAUAUUGGACCAAGACUUCUGAGAUUUUUUAAGUGUUAUUAAAGUGGUGUGACCUCUUUUCAGAGGCCAAGAGAGGGAUUGAAGGAUAGCAUUUUUUUUUUAUUGUUAGAUUUUGCUAAACAUUUACUAAUAAAUGCAGCCACGAAGGCUUUUGCUUUAAAGGGAUAACUGCUAUAUUAUGUGUACAAGUUUAGGGAAGUAUUGCAGGUUGCAGAGAACAGCCCAUCCUGUUAUCGAGUGUGGGUGCAUAGAAAAUGAUGAAAGGGCUGAGAAUGACAGGACAUAUGAGCUCUGUGUACGUGCUCUGAAACAUCUGCCUUAAAAGGUGAACUGUUAAGAGAAGAUACACAGAUACCAGGAAGAGGAAUAUCUGGUUUCUGAAUGGUUAACCUGUUAAGACAAUUCCAUAUAAGUCUAUAGUAGUUAGGGUUAGGGAGUGUGUGAGAGACAGUAUAAAAGCCUGAAUACAGGAAGCUCAUUGGCCAUUAUAUCCCUUCUGCGCAGAACAUGUAUUCUCUAACUUCUUGCAUUCAAAAUAAAACUUCUUAAUUUUCAA